CCCGUGAGGACGCCCUUUACCCCUACCCCAGGCUUAGGAGCUGGUAUCAGGCGCAACUUUUACGCCCAUAACACCUAGUCCCACCACACCCCCAAGGGUACUCAGCAGUGAUAAACAUUGUUCAUAAGCGCCAGCUUGACCCAGUUAUAAAGAAGAGGGCCGGCCAACUUGGUGCCAGCCGCCGCGGCUAGACCAACUGGACUCAAAUUGAUAAUUCCCGGCGUUAAGCGUGAUUAAAGCCACACACCAAUUAGAGUUAAACCUAUGUUGAGCAGUGAAAAGCACACGAUAGGGAAACCCAGAAACGAAAGUUACUCUAAUCUCUGCUUGAAUACACGACAGCUAGAAAACAAACUGGGAUU
Molecule: ribosomal RNA, 362 nt
Filed under: Hoplobatrachus rugulosus (rugose frog)
Lineage: Eukaryota; Metazoa; Chordata; Amphibia; Anura; Dicroglossidae
Description: partial 12S rRNA
Source: RNAcentral